GAUGAACGCUGGCGGCGUGCCUAAUACAUGCAAGUCGAGCGAACAGACGAGGAGCUUGCUCCUCUGACGUUAGCGGCGGACGGGUGAGUAACACGUGGAUAACCUACCUAUAAGACUGGGAUAACUUCGGGAAACCGGAGCUAAUACCGGAUAAUAUAUUGAACCGCAUGGUUCAAUAGUGAAAGACGGUUUUGCUGUCACUUAUAGAUGGAUCCGCGCCGCAUUAGCUAGUUGGUAAGGUAACGGCUUACCAAGGCAACGAUGCGUAGCCGACCUGAGAGGGGGAUCGGCCGCACUAGAAGUGAGACACGGUCCAGACUCCUACGGGAGGCAGCAGUAGGGAAUCUGCCGCAAUGGGCGAAAGCCUGACGGAGCAACGGCGCGUGAGUGAUGAAGGUCUUCGGAUCGUAAAACUCUGUUAUGAGGGAAGAACAAAUGUGUAAGUAACUAUGCACGUCUUGACGGUACCUAAUCAGAAAGCCACGGCUAACUACGUG
Molecule: ribosomal RNA, 497 nt
Filed under: uncultured bacterium
Lineage: Bacteria
Description: partial 16S ribosomal RNA
Rfam family: Bacterial small subunit ribosomal RNA
Source: RNAcentral